AGUGAACGCUGGCGGUAGGCCUAACACAUGCAAGUCGAACGGCAGCACAGUAAGAGCUUGCUCUUACGGGUGGCGAGUGGCGGACGGGUGAGGAAUACAUCGGAAUCUACUUUUUCGUGGGGGAUAACGUAGGGAAACUUACGCUAAUACCGCAUACGACCUACGGGUGAAAGCAAGGGAUCUUCGGACCUUGCGCGAUUGAAUGAGCCGAUGUCGGAUUAGCUAGUUGGCGGGGUAAGGGCCCACCAAGGCGACGAUCCGUAGCUGGUCUGAGAGGAUGAUCAGCCACACUGGAACUGAGACACGGUCCAGACUCCUACGGGAGGCAGCAGUGGGGAAUAUUGGACAAUGGGCGCAAGCCUGAUCCAGCCAUACCGCGUGGGUGAAGAAGGCCUUCGGGUUGUAAAGCCCUUUUGUUGGGAAAGAAAAGCAGCAGGUUAAUACCCCGCUGUUCUGACGGUACCCAAAGAAUAAGCACCGGCUAACUUCGUG
This 492-nucleotide ribosomal RNA is filed under the name uncultured bacterium. RNAcentral's name for it is "partial 16S ribosomal RNA". It matches the Rfam family "Bacterial small subunit ribosomal RNA", at positions 29 to 507 of the family's 1533-position model. The record is from RNAcentral.